ACACUCCUACGGGAGGCAGCAGUGGGGAAUUUUGGACAAUGGGCGAAAGCCUGAUCCAGCAAUGCCGCGUGAGUGAAGAAGGCCUUCGGGUUGUAAAGCUCUUUUGUCAGGGAAGAAACGGUGAGAGCUAAUAUCUCUUGCUAAUGACGGUACCUGAAGAAUAAGCACCGGCUAACUACGUGCCAGCAGCCGCGGUAAUACGUAGGGUGCAAGCGUUAAUCGGAAUUACUGGGCGUAAAGCGUGCGCAGGCGGUUUUGUAAGUCUGAUGUGAAAUCCCCGGGCUCAACCUGGGAAUUGCAUUGGAGACUGCAAGGCUAGAAUCUGGCAGAGGGGGGUAGAAUUCCACGUGUAGCAGUGAAAUGCGUAGAUAUGUGGAGGAACACCGAUGGCGAAGGCAGCCCCCUGGGUCAAGAUUGACGCUCAUGCACGAAAGCGUGGGGAGCAAACAGGAUUAGAAACCCUGGUAGUCCCAU
RNAcentral lists this ribosomal RNA (474 nucleotides) under uncultured organism. RNAcentral's name for it is "partial 16S ribosomal RNA". It matches the Rfam family "Bacterial small subunit ribosomal RNA", at positions 333 to 798 of the family's 1533-position model. The record is from RNAcentral.